GAUGAACGCUGGCGGCGUGCUUAACACAUGCAAGUCGAGCGAAGCACUUGCCAUUGACUCUUCGGAAGAUUUGGCAUUUGACUGAGCGGGCGAGGGUGAGGUACGCGUGGUAACCGUGCUCAUACAGGGGAAUAACAGUUGGAAACGGCUGCUAAUACCGCAUAACGUCAUUUUGCCGCAUGACAGAGCGACCAAAGAUUUAUCGCUGAGAGAUGGGCUCGCGUCCGAUUAGGUAGAUGGUGGGGUAACGGCCUACCAUGCCGACGAUCGGUAGCCCGGACUGGGAGGUUGGUCGGCCACAUUGGGACUGAGACACGGCCCAG
This 323-nucleotide ribosomal RNA is filed under the name uncultured bacterium. RNAcentral's name for it is "bacterial SSU rRNA". It matches the Rfam family "Bacterial small subunit ribosomal RNA", at positions 28 to 334 of the family's 1533-position model. The record is from RNAcentral.